This is a non-coding RNA of Ciona savignyi (Pacific transparent sea squirt), 73 nucleotides long. Lineage: Eukaryota; Metazoa; Chordata; Ascidiacea; Phlebobranchia; Cionidae. The record is from Rfam.
GGGGGUGUAACUCAGAUGGUAGAGCGCGCGCUUAGCAUGCGCGAGUUACCAUGAUCGAUACCCGGCACCUCCA